UACAGAGGGGGCAAGCGUUAUUCGGAAUUAUUGGGCGUAAAGGGCGCGUAGGCGGCUUAUCAAGUCAGGGGUGAAAUCUUUCGGCUCAACCGGAAAAGUGCCUUUGAUACUGAUAGGCUCGAGGGAGGUAGGGGUAUGUGGAACUUCCGGUGGAGCGGUGAAAUGCGUUGAUAUCGGAAGGAACGCCGGUGGCGAAAGCGACGUACUGGACCUCUUCUGACGCUGAGGCGCGAAAGCUAGGGGAGCAAACGGG
Molecule: ribosomal RNA, 253 nt
Filed under: uncultured bacterium
Lineage: Bacteria
Description: partial 16S ribosomal RNA
Rfam family: Bacterial small subunit ribosomal RNA
Source: RNAcentral